UACGUAGGGUGCAAGCGUUAAUCGGAAUUACUGGGCGUAAAGCGUGCGCAGGCGGUUAAGUAAGUCAGAUGUGAAAUGCCCGGGCUUAACCUGGGAACUGCAUUUGUGACUGCAUGGCUAGAGUUUGGCAGAGGGGGGUAGAAUUCCACGUGUAGCAGUGAAAUGCGUAGAUAUGUGGAGGAACAUCGAUGGCGAAGGCAGCCCCCUGGGUCAAGACUGACGCUCAUGCACGAAAGCGUGGGGAGCAAACAGG
This 253-nucleotide ribosomal RNA is filed under the name uncultured bacterium. Its description in RNAcentral is "partial 16S ribosomal RNA". It matches the Rfam family "Bacterial small subunit ribosomal RNA", at positions 524 to 776 of the family's 1533-position model. The record is from RNAcentral.